Molecule: ribosomal RNA, 366 nt
Filed under: uncultured bacterium
Lineage: Bacteria
Description: bacterial SSU rRNA
Rfam family: Bacterial small subunit ribosomal RNA
Source: RNAcentral
AACGAACGCUGGCGGCAUGCCUAACACAUGCAAGUCGAACGAAGGCUUCGGCCUUAGUGGCGCACGGGUGCGUAACGCGUGGGAAUCUGCCCCUCGGUUCGGAAUAACAGUUAGAAAUAGACUGCUAAUACCGGAUGAUGACGAAAGUCCAAAGAUUUAUCGCCGAGGGAUGAGCCCGCGUAGGAUUAGCUUGUUGGUGGGGUAAUGGCCCACCAAGGCGACGAUCCUUAGCUGGUCUGAGAGGAUGAUCAGCCACACUGGGACUGAGACACGGCCCAGACUCCUACGGGAGGGCAGCAGUGGGGGAAUAUUGGACAAUGGGCGGAAAGACCUGAUCCAGCAAUAGCCGCGUGAGUGAUGAAGGCC